UUGAUGAUCAUUAGGGGCUGCUUCAUAGCAGAUAACUCUUCUAUGGUGUCUUUCGCUUUGAUCAGCGCCACUCGACACGUGGACCGCAUUGGAGAUUAUGAUUGGGGUUCCUACACCUUUGCCUAUUUACUCAAGGGAAUGCGCAUGCGUUCACAGGGCUUAACCGAGGCUUGGUUAGGAUUCUACCCAUUUCUGCUAGUGAGUGUUUCUCUUGUUUUUUACCAUGUACAGGUCAAGAGUGUUAACUGACAGCAGAUGUUUAUCUUUAUAUUGACAGUUUUGGGCCUAUGAGAGGCUCCCAUGUUUGCAUCCUGUGAGUGUGUUAGGCUUAGAUACCUAUCCACGAGGACGGAGAUGACAUCAUUCCAUACUGGUGGAGGUCCUUAUUGCGGAGGGUUUUACUCAUUGCCACCUACAGCUGAAGUUGUUGACAGCAGAUGUCAUCACGUGGAUUCCCUAUUCAGGGGAGCAUUUGAGCAUUGGAUUUGAGGAUGGGUACCCGACUGGAGUUGAGCACGUUAUUUUCACCCGUAAGAUUCCUCUCUUCAUAGAUGGAGGAUGGGAGCUCUACUUAGGAGAGCAUGCUAUCAGGAG
Molecule: long non-coding RNA, 594 nt
Filed under: Panax ginseng (ginseng)
Lineage: Eukaryota; Viridiplantae; Streptophyta; Magnoliopsida; Apiales; Araliaceae
Description: long non-coding RNA (PGIN_LNC001017)
Source: RNAcentral